UGGUAGGUCAAAUUGGCUGACAGGGCACGGUAAGCUGAUAAUCACCCUCCCUUGGAGAAAUUAUUGCACGUCUCCUCGAGGGCAGCACAGUUGAAACCGACUGCAUGUUCCAACCAUAUGAUUAAAAUUCGAGAUUUGCACACGAUCGAUUAAAUAUAAAUAUAGAAUGAAUUUAUGAAAAACCGAUGCUUGCGGCUUUGAUGUGGAAUAUGAAAAUAAUUUUUUAUCCUUUUGACUCCUGAAUUACGCUGGAGAUGUACUCGUUCAAUUCGAGAUCUUUUCUUUGGAGAAAAAAUUACGCUUAUUGCUCUUCGAACAUUUACUCGGUAAAAUAGAGAUCCUCACAAUCACAACAAGAGAGAGUUGCUAGGCCGAUCGUCCUCCUCACCCUAUUUUUUUAUAAAAAAAUAAAUUAUUAUAUGGACCUGGUCCAAAUGGACCAGGGGAUCUGCCGAAGCAUCUACACGGCGGAUAACGCACGGUCGGAAAUUGGUUGUGGCCAACAUUUCCCCACUGCACCACCUUUUUUUUACUUUUUCCACUAAACUUUUGGUGCAUACACAAGUCAGCGAAAAGUUCGAUGUAGAAAAGGUCUCCAUCAGCCAGCGCGUACGUUAUGGUCUCGGUAAAACUGUUAGCGCCACUAGAUUUUUGCACGUCGAAUCAUGGGGAACAUUUUUUUUCUUUUCUUAUGGUGAAAAAGAACUGUUCAGGUUUUUCAUAGAAAAAUAUUAGGGAAUAGAGCUUUACGUGUGACCGUAGAUGAUGGUGAUGGCUGUGAUCCUAUCUUGCGAGAUGCAUACAACUCAAUCAGAAGAGACAGUUGAUGACCCAUGGAUUAGACCUUUUUUUAUUCUUUAGACCGUUUGAUUUGAGCAGAAGGAAUAUUAAAUCCUCUCCUAUCCAUCAUUGCGGAACCCACAUGGUCUUUAUAACAUCAUAGAUCAUAGAACAACCAUCUAAAAAGCAUUACAAGGUAUACAUGAUUGGGGAGAUUUUUAAUGCGGAUAACUCCCAUCCAUGAUGUCAUUUGGAGGACAUCCAUAUCAUGAGGCGGAAGGUAAGAAGGUACAAAUCUUCAUUGAGGUUCUCCUGAAGCCUCCUUUGGGGUAAACCAAUAAAGGGUACUUAAGAAGAGGGGGGGGGGGUGGUGUUGUGGGGCUUUUCCAUUGCUCUUUUAUUACUAAAUAGGUCACCAAAAAAUGGCAAGAUGGAGUGGCCAGAUUCCAAUCAAAUCUGAACCAAGAUUUAGACCCAAUAAAAAGGGCUAUUUUGAGCUCCAACAAAAUUAUUAAGUUAGCAUUCAGGACCUGACCCAUGAAUAAAGUAACCUAUAUACGUAGAUUCACUUUGCAGAUACCCACACAUUUUUUUCUUUACUGGUACCAUUAUACCUGCUGAAGCUGCGCUUGGAAAUGGUAGGCUCACAGCUAAAUUAAAAAUGCCGAAAAGAUACUCACCUCAAGGUCAUAGAAGUGGUUGUCAUCAAGGAGUGUGAACUCUGCACCACCCAUGAAUUAUGGGUUAUUUAUUCAAUGAUAGCUGAGAUGAUUAGGGCCAAGAACUGCCAUCAGUGAGCUACUUGUUUGGGAACUAGGAGACUCCAGUCUUAGACUGACCUGAAGAACAGGCAGUUCACAUGAAGAUGGCUUGAAAGCCUAUCUGAAGAACAUGUAUAAGGUCGAAUGCAGCAGCAAACAGCAUCUUGGUUU
RNAcentral lists this long non-coding RNA (1712 nucleotides) under Elaeis guineensis (African oil palm). RNAcentral describes it as "long non-coding RNA (EGUI_LNC016366)". Lineage: Eukaryota; Viridiplantae; Streptophyta; Magnoliopsida; Arecales; Arecaceae. The record is from RNAcentral.